GACGAACGCUGGCGGCGUGCUUAACACAUGCAAGUCGAACGGAAAGGCCCUGCUUUUGUGGGGUGCUCGAGUGGCGAACGGGUGAGUAACACGUGAGUAACCUGCCCUUGACUUUGGGAUAACUUCAGGAAACUGGGGCUAAUACCGGAUAGGAGCUCCUGCUGCAUGGUGGGGGUUGGAAAGUUUCGGCGGUUGGGGAUGGACUCGCGGCUUAUCAGCUUGUUGGUGGGGUAGUGGCUUACCAAGGCUUUGACGGGUAGCCGGCCUGAGAGGGUGACCGGCCACAUUGGGACUGAGAUACGGCCCAGACUCCUACGGGAGGCAGCAGUGGGGAAUAUUGCACAAUGGGCGGAAGCCUGAUGCAGCAACGCCGCGUGCGGGAUGAAGGCCUUCGGGUUGUAAACCGCUUUCGCCUGUGACGAAGCGUGAGUGACAGUAAUGGGUAAAGAAGCACCGGCUAACUACGUG
This 468-nucleotide ribosomal RNA is filed under the name uncultured bacterium. RNAcentral's name for it is "partial 16S ribosomal RNA". It matches the Rfam family "Bacterial small subunit ribosomal RNA", at positions 28 to 507 of the family's 1533-position model. The record is from RNAcentral.